RNAcentral lists this microRNA precursor (171 nucleotides) under Triticum aestivum (bread wheat). Its description in RNAcentral is "MIR2118 microRNA precursor family". It matches the Rfam family "MIR2118 microRNA precursor family". The record is from Rfam by way of RNAcentral. Lineage: Eukaryota; Viridiplantae; Streptophyta; Magnoliopsida; Poales; Poaceae.
GCCGGGAAGUGGAAGAAAAGAGGGCAUAAGAGCAGUGGGAGUGAGAACACGAAGGAAAGCCUAACUUGCUUUGUUUUCACCUCUAGUGUUGGAGGUGAGAACUUGAUUUGGUGUUUCCCAGUGCCUCCCAUUCUUACAGUUCUCAGGCACUCCUUCCACUUCCUUUUUUGG